GAGAUAGAUAAAGUCGUUUCGUUGUGUCAAUCCCUGUGGAUACGAUAUCUGGUUACUAUUUCUGUGCUACAAUUACACCGUGUUAGUUGCGGUAUUUUGUGCUAAUAAUUUAGUGAUCAACUUUUUGGCGCCGUUGCCGGGGAUUGAUUAGAAAUUACUUUAAUAUUUCCGAUAGGAUUUUAUAGUACUUCAGGUUUUUAUUUAUUUUUAUUUUUCCGUUCUAAUUUUUUAAGGUGUGUUUCUGUAGGUUGCGUAUGAACACUAGGUCUCACGGAAAUCCUCUCUUUGAGUUUGAUCCUGAAAUCAACGCUACUUUGCGCAAUAUCACCAAGCAAAAGAAUCAAGCUGAGCAGGAUACGAUGGCCACUCCUGAACAAAUCAACAUUCAAAUGCGAGCUUUGCAAGAGCAAGUGAAGAAGUUACUUGAUGAAAAGGCGACUACAGAGGCUCAGAAGCCUCCAAUUAAUGAG
RNAcentral lists this long non-coding RNA (470 nucleotides) under Salvia miltiorrhiza (redroot sage). RNAcentral's name for it is "long non-coding RNA (SMIL_LNC009299)". The record is from RNAcentral. Lineage: Eukaryota; Viridiplantae; Streptophyta; Magnoliopsida; Lamiales; Lamiaceae.